Molecule: ribosomal RNA, 255 nt
Filed under: uncultured bacterium
Lineage: Bacteria
Description: partial 16S ribosomal RNA
Rfam family: Bacterial small subunit ribosomal RNA
Source: RNAcentral
AAUAUAAGUGAUGGCGACCGGCGCACGGGUGAGUAACACGUAUCCAACCUGCCGAUAACUCGGGGAUAGCCUUUCGAAAGAAAGAUUAAUACCCGAUGGUAUAAUAAAACCGCAUGGUUUAAUUAUUAAAGAAUUUCGGUUAUCGAUGGGGAUGCGUUCCAUUAGGCAGUUGGUGAGGUAACGGCUCGCCAAACCUUCGAUGGAUAGGGGUUCUGAGAGGAAGGUCCCCCACAUUGGAACUGAGACACGGUCCAA